RNAcentral lists this long non-coding RNA (1869 nucleotides) under Ananas comosus (pineapple). RNAcentral describes it as "long non-coding RNA (ACOM_LNC041921)". Lineage: Eukaryota; Viridiplantae; Streptophyta; Magnoliopsida; Poales; Bromeliaceae. The record is from RNAcentral.
CUCUACCUAGGUUUUUAUUAACCCUAGGUUCAACAACACUAGAAUCAAUGUCAACCUAUGUUCAUGACGCUAGGUUGAUGCCACUCGAUCUAUUUGAUUCUAGGUCUACUCACGACCUAUGUUCUUUAACACUAAGUUAGAUGCCACUCGAUCUAUUUGACACCCUAGUUGUCCAUCGAGUAGUCUAUGGUUUUCACGUUCUUAUUUCCAACGUCAUGUUCUCUACGCAAUCUGGAGUUAUCCACCAAGUUCACAUGCAUAUAUAAUCUCACAAUGCUUUCUUAUUUCCAAUGCCAUGUUCUCUACGCAAUUUGGAAUUAUCAACCAAGUUCACAUGCAUAUAUAAUCUCACAAUGCUAAUCAUGCCCUUUAUAAUCUCACAAUGCUAUUCAUGCAUUUAUAAUCUCACAUAUCAUUUUAUAUGCACCUACUCAGCAUUUGCAUCAUAUUACUAUUAUCAUGCUUUACAUUAGUAUCAUGCAUUACUAGCAUUAUGUAAAUUGCUCACUAUGCAUUUCUACUUAGCACUUACAUUAACAUGCAUAAUUAUCAUGCAUUACACUAUUAUCAAGCAUUAUUUCGCACUUAUAUGCAUCAACAUGAACUCUUAACUUGCUUAGACAUAAAGGCGACCUAGUCGCUUCGGUAAGCACAACCCACCUUAACACGCGUUCCGAUUGCUUGUCGACACUUGCAAUCGGCCUCCCGCGGCACCCGGUGCCCAAUUCGGCCCGAACUCGAAAUUGCUCACCAACUGCGCAUCGCUUUGCAGUUCCGGAUAAAAAGGGUCUUUGUUUUGCUGCUACGGUGCUUCAAAUCCGUUCUGUCACAGCCCGCGACCACUCGCUUAUUUGGCCGAGGUCGCGGCGCCGACAGCGCCGAACGGACAAGGUUUCCCUUGUACUGCGGACAAAGUCUCCCCUGUACGUUCAAGGCAUCGCAAUCAAUACAAUACGAAUGUUCCAACCAGGAACUGAUAUCAAUCAAGAUUGCAUAAUGGAAGGUAUCAAACAACAUAAACACAUCCUAUGUUAUUACACGCAUUCACAUUCACAGAUUUUUACAUCACAGUUCUUUAUACAUUCUCUUUUUUUUUAUCCAAAUGCAAUCUAGUUAUUACAAAUUUAUUUACAAAUUGAUACAUUGUUUUUUUUUCAUUUUCUAUACCCCUAGCCACGUCGACGGGGUACUGCUAGCUCUGGUCUCUGGGUAGGGCGCUAUCUAUGGAGCUACGCCCUUUCCUCGCGCCGCCGCGCCGCUCACGUGCGAACCUGUACCCCCAAAAGCAACACGGGGGUGAGAACUAUAUAAAUAUAGUUCCCAGUGGGUACAGCCACCCAAGGGAAAAGCUCGACCAAAAGGUCCAAGGAGGCACUGCAAUCAUGUUAGUCCAAAAACAUCUAUAGAUAUAUAUCAAAAUGUUAAUAUGCAACUAACAGAUAACAUGCCACCCAAAAUGCUUAUGGGUUUCAGUUAUGUAAAGUUUUAAAUUACAGUGGAUUUCAUGUUUAGUUAGACUUACUAUCACUUGUGUUUGUUGCUUGCCUUCGUGCAAGCCAUGUAUAUUGAAAUGUGAUCCUGGGAAUUGUUUAAUUUCUUUAUACAUGUAUUCGUUGUUGUCGAGCCUUGGGCGAACAGAGGAGGUGCUGUUCGUUCGGCGUCUGUGCGCGGGCCCGGAUCGACCAAAUUGGCGAUAGCGGGACGUGACAGAUAAAGUGGUAUCAGUUUCAGUUAUACAGUUCAGUUUGAAAGUUUUAAAUUAUAGUAAUUUUUUUCAUGUUUAGCUAGCUUUACUAUCACUUGUGAUUGUUGCUUGCCUUCGUGCAAGCCAUGUAUACUGAAAUGUGAUCUUGGGAAUUGUUUAUUUCU